RNAcentral lists this ribosomal RNA (389 nucleotides) under Pyramimonadales sp. RNAcentral's name for it is "partial small subunit ribosomal RNA". It matches the Rfam family "Eukaryotic small subunit ribosomal RNA", at positions 582 to 975 of the family's 1831-position model. The record is from RNAcentral. Lineage: Eukaryota; Viridiplantae; Chlorophyta; Pyramimonadophyceae; Pyramimonadales.
AUUCCAGCUCCAAUAGCGUAUAUUUAAGUUGUUGCAGUUAAAAAGCUCGUAGUUGGAUUUCGGAUGUGAACGACCGGUCCGCCGUUGCGGUGUGCACUGGACGUUUGUAUCUUGUUGUCGGGGACGCGCACCUUGCCUUAAGUGGUCGGGACGCGGAGUCGGCGCUGUUACUUUGAAAAAAUUAGAGUGUUCAAAGCAGGCAACCGCUCUGAAUACAUUAGCAUGGAAUAACGCUAUAGGACUCUGGUCUUAUUGUGUUGGUCUUCGAGACCGGAGUAAUGAUUAAGAGGGACAGUUGGGGGCAUUCGUAUUUCAUUGUCAGAGGUGAAAUUCUUGGAUUUAUGAAAGACGAACUUCUGCGAAAGCAUUUGCCAAGGAUGUUUUCAUUA